GGAUAACCUGCCCUUGGGUCCGGCAUAACCCCGGGAAACUGGGGAUAAUUCCGGAUAACGCACAUAUGCUGGAAUGCUUUAUGCGUAAAAUGGAUUCGUCUGCCCAAGGAUGGGUCUGCGGCCUAUCAGGUAGUAGUGGGUGUAAUGUACCUACUAGCCAACAACGGGUACGGGUUGUGAGAGCAAGAGCCCGGAGAUGGAUUCUGAGACAUGAAUCCAGGCCCUACGGGGCGCAGCAGGCGCGAAAACUUUACAAUGCGGGAAACCGUGAUAAGGGGACACCGAGUGCCAGCGUCAUACGCUGGCUGUCCAGGUGUGUAAAAUACACCUGUUAGCAAGGGCCGGGCAAGACCGGUGCCAGCCGCCGCGGUAACACCGGCGGCCCGAGUGGUGAUCGUGAUUAUUGGGUCUAAAGGGUCCGUAGCCGGUUUGGUCAGUCCUCCGGGAAAUCUGAUAGCUCAACUGUUAGGCUUUCGGGGGAUACUGCCAGACUUGGAACCGGGAGAGGUAAGAGGUACUACAGGGGUAGGAGUGAAAUCUUGUAAUCCCUGUGGGACCACCUGUGGCGAAGGCGUCUUACCAGAACGGGUUCGACGGUGAGGGACGAAAGCUGGGGGCACGAACCGGAUUAGAUACCCGGGUAGUCCCAGCCGUAAACGAUGCUCGCUAGGUGUCAGGCAUGGCGCGACCGUGUCUGGUGCCGCAGGGAAGCCGUGAAGCGAGCCACCUGGGAAGUACNGCCGCAAGGCUGAAACUUAA
RNAcentral lists this ribosomal RNA (759 nucleotides) under uncultured archaeon. Its description in RNAcentral is "bacterial SSU rRNA". It matches the Rfam family "Archaeal small subunit ribosomal RNA", at positions 102 to 859 of the family's 1478-position model. The record is from RNAcentral.